AACCCAUGGUGAAGGCACCUUCUCAAUAAAUCAUUGUAUCUCUCUCAUGCAUCAUAAAGAGUUUCUAGAUCCAUCUAUACAAAAGAAAAGAUAUCAUUCCUUAAUUU
Molecule: small nucleolar RNA, 107 nt
Filed under: Gossypium arboreum
Lineage: Eukaryota; Viridiplantae; Streptophyta; Magnoliopsida; Malvales; Malvaceae
Description: Plant small nucleolar RNA R71
Rfam family: Plant small nucleolar RNA R71
About the family: R71 is a member of the C/D box family of snoRNAs containing the C (UGAUGA) and D (CUGA) box motifs.
Source: Rfam by way of RNAcentral